CUGAACUGUCAACACGAGUUGUUGCUGGUCUCCGAGAGGGGGCAUGUGCACGCUCUGUUUACACACCCACUCACACCUGUGCACCCUCUGUAGCUCUGUGGUGCGGGGGACCCUGUCCUCCCGCUGUGGUUCUACGUCUUUACACACACACAGUGAUAAAGUCUCAUGGAAUGUAUGUAGCGUUUAACGCAAUAUAAUA
Molecule: unclassified non-coding RNA, 199 nt
Filed under: uncultured Tomentella
Lineage: Eukaryota; Fungi; Basidiomycota; Agaricomycetes; Thelephorales; Thelephoraceae
Description: sequence contains ITS1
Source: RNAcentral